This 318-nucleotide ribosomal RNA is filed under the name Triticum aestivum (bread wheat). Its description in RNAcentral is "partial small subunit ribosomal RNA". Lineage: Eukaryota; Viridiplantae; Streptophyta; Magnoliopsida; Poales; Poaceae. The record is from RNAcentral.
AUGCUUGCCAUCAACCAUUUCUCUGAUCUCCAUGCUACGCAUUUUUGUUGGUUGAACUCUGUCGGCAUUGCUCUCAUUCCGAAGAAAGAUGGUGCCGAGGACAUCGGUGAUUUUCGUCCUCUCAGUCUUAUCCAUGUCGUCGAUAAGCUAAUUGCUAAGAUGAUGUCCAACCGGCUUGCCUCGCGCAUGAAUGAGCUGGUCUCACAUGCCCAAAGCGCAUUUAUUAAAAGAAGAUGCAUCCAUGACAACUUCAUGUAUGUGCGCAAUCUCGCGAGACGCUUCCAUCAUAGAAAAACCGGCGUUGCUCUUCGAACUUGA